RNAcentral lists this ribosomal RNA (322 nucleotides) under uncultured eukaryote. Its description in RNAcentral is "partial 18S ribosomal RNA". It matches the Rfam family "Eukaryotic small subunit ribosomal RNA", at positions 1470 to 1796 of the family's 1831-position model. The record is from RNAcentral.
CCCUUAGAUGUUCUGGGCCGCACGCGUGCUACACUGAGUGGAUCAGCGGGUCAGGUUGCGCGAAAGUGUUUCCUAAUCUUUAAAUCCGCUCGUGAUGGGGAUUGACGGUUGCAAUUUUCCGUCAUGAACGAGGAAUACCUUGUAAGCGCGGGUCAUCAUCCCGCGCUGAAUACGUCCCUGCCCUUUGUACACACCGCCCGUCGCUCCUACCGAUUGAGUGGUCCGGUGAGGCUUUGGGAUCUGGGCGGAAAGAGCGUUUCGCUGUUUCUGCCCGGAAAACUCGGUCGAACCUUAUCAUUUAGAGGAAGGAGAAGUCGUAACA